RNAcentral lists this ribosomal RNA (494 nucleotides) under uncultured bacterium. Its description in RNAcentral is "partial 16S ribosomal RNA". It matches the Rfam family "Bacterial small subunit ribosomal RNA", at positions 28 to 507 of the family's 1533-position model. The record is from RNAcentral.
GACGAACGCUGGCGGCGUGCUUAACACAUGCAAGUCGAACGGUGAAGCGCCUUCCUUUUUGGUGGGUGUGGAUGAGUGGCGAACGGGUGAGUAACACGUGAGUAACCUGCCCCCUUCUUCUGGAUAACCGCAUGAAAGUGUGGCUAAUACGGGAUAUUCUGGGUCUGUCGCAUGAUGGGUCUGGGAAAGAUAUUGUUUCGGGGGGGGAUGGGCUCGCGGCCUAUCAGCUUGUUGGGGGGGUGAUGGCCUACCAAGGCGGUGACGGGUGGCCGGCCUGAGAGGGUGGACGGUCACACUGGGACUGAGACACGGCCCAGACUCCUACGGGAGGCAGCAGUGGGGAAUAUUGCACAAUGGGCGCAAGCCUGAUGCAGCGACGCCGCGUGAGGGAUGGAGGCCUGCGGGUUGUGAACCUCUUUCGCCAGUGAAGCAGGCCUGCCUCGUUUGUGGGUGGGUUGACGGUAGCUGGAUAAGAAGCGCCGGCUAACUACGUG